This 497-nucleotide ribosomal RNA is filed under the name uncultured bacterium. Its description in RNAcentral is "partial 16S ribosomal RNA". It matches the Rfam family "Bacterial small subunit ribosomal RNA", at positions 28 to 507 of the family's 1533-position model. The record is from RNAcentral.
GAUGAACGCUGGCGGCGUGCCUAAUACAUGCAAGUCGAGCGAACGGACGAGAAGCUUGCUUCUCUGAUGUUAGCGGCCGACGGGUGAGUAACACGUGGAUAACCUACCUAUAAGACUGGGAUAACUUCGGGAAACCGGAGCUAAUACCGGAUAAUAUUUUGAACCGCAUGGUUCAAAAGUGAAAGACGGUCUUGCUGUCACUUAUAGAUGGAUCCGCGCUGCAUUAGCUAGUUGGUAAGGUAACGGCUUACCAAGGCAACGAUGCAUAGCCGACCUGAGAGGGUGAUCGGCCACACUGGAACUGAGACACGGUCCAGACUCCUACGGGAGGCAGCAGUAGGGAAUCUUCCGCAAUGGGCGAAAGCCUGACGGAGCAACGCCGCGUGAGUGAUGAAGGUCUUCGGAUCGUAAAUCUCUGUUAUUAGGGAAGAGCAUAUGUGUAAGUAACUGUGCACAUCUUGACGGUACCUAAUCAGAAAGCCACGGCUAACUACGUG